UACGUAGGGUGCGAGCGUUAAUCGGAAUUACUGGGCGUAAAGCGUGCGCAGGCGGCUUUGCAAGACAGAUGUGAAAUUCCCGGGCUCAACCUGGGAACUGCAUUUGUGACUGCAAGGCUAGAGUACGGCAGAGGGGGAUGGAAUUCCGCGUGUAGCAGUGAAAUGCGUAGAUAUGCGGAGGAACACCAAUGGCGAAGGCAAUCCCCUGGGCCUGUACUGACGCUCAUGCACGAAAGCGUGGGGAGCAAACAGG
This 253-nucleotide ribosomal RNA is filed under the name uncultured bacterium. RNAcentral's name for it is "partial 16S ribosomal RNA". It matches the Rfam family "Bacterial small subunit ribosomal RNA", at positions 524 to 776 of the family's 1533-position model. The record is from RNAcentral.